CAGCAGCCGCGGUAAAACGUAGGGUGCAAGCGUUAAUCGGAAUUACUGGGCGUAAAGCGUGCGCAGGCGGUUAUAUAAGACAGAUGUGAAAUCCCCGGGCUCAACCUGGGAACUGCAUUUGUGACUGUAUAGCUAGAGUACGGCAGAGGGGGAUGGAAUUCCGCGUGUAGCAGUGAAAUGCGUAGAUAUGCGGAGGAACACCGAUGGCGAAGGCAAUCCCCUGGGCCUGUACUGACGCUCAUGCACGAAAGCGUGGGGAGCAAACAGGAUUAGAUACCCCAGUAGUCCCUGUCUCUUAUAA
Molecule: ribosomal RNA, 301 nt
Filed under: uncultured bacterium
Lineage: Bacteria
Description: partial 16S ribosomal RNA
Rfam family: Bacterial small subunit ribosomal RNA
Source: RNAcentral